Molecule: ribosomal RNA, 433 nt
Filed under: uncultured bacterium
Lineage: Bacteria
Description: partial 16S ribosomal RNA
Rfam family: Bacterial small subunit ribosomal RNA
Source: RNAcentral
AACGAACGCUGGCGGCAUGCCUAACACAUGCAAGUCGAACGAGACCUUCGGGUCUAGUGGCGCACGGGUGCGUAACGCGUGGGAACCUGCCCUUAGGUUCGGAAUAACUCCCCGAAAGGGGUGCUAAUACCGGAUCAUGUCUUCGGACCAAGGAUUUAUCGCCUUUGGAUGGGCCCGCGUUGGAUUAGCUAGUUGGUAGGGUAAAAGCCUACCAAGGCGACGAUCCAUAGCUGGUCUGAGAGGAUGAUCAGCCACACUGGGACUGAGACACGGCCCAGACUCCUACGGGAGGCAGCAGUGGGGAAUAUUGGACAAUGGGCGAAAGCCUGAUCCAGCAAUGACGCGUGAGUGAUGAAGGCCUUAGGGUUGUAAAGCUCUUUUACCCGGGAUGAUAAUGACAGUACCGGGAGAAUAAGCUCCGGCUAACUCCGUG